AAGAAGGGUCAUGAGACACAGAAACUGCUAAUUGUCUGGCCCUAAAGUUUAAAUCUUUAGCCUUCUUA
Molecule: transfer RNA, 68 nt
Filed under: Laotriton laoensis
Lineage: Eukaryota; Metazoa; Chordata; Amphibia; Caudata; Salamandridae
Description: tRNA-Ser
Source: RNAcentral